GUGGGUAUAGCUCAGCCCGGUUAGAGCGCCAGGUUGUGGCCCUGGAGGUCGGGGGUUCAAGUCCCCUUACUCACCCCA
This 78-nucleotide transfer RNA is filed under the name Ilumatobacteraceae bacterium. Its description in RNAcentral is "tRNA-His". It matches the Rfam family "tRNA". From Rfam's summary of the family: Transfer RNA (tRNA) molecules are approximately 80 nucleotides in length. Their secondary structure includes four short double-helical elements and three loops (D, anti-codon, and T loops). Further hydrogen bonds mediate the characteristic L-shaped molecular structure. tRNAs have two regions of fundamental functional importance: the anti-codon, which is responsible for specific mRNA codon recognition, and the 3' end, to which the tRNAs corresponding amino acid is attached (by aminoacyl-tRNA synthetases). tRNAs cope with the degeneracy of the genetic code in two manners: having more than one tRNA (with a specific anti-codon) for a particular amino acid; and 'wobble' base-pairing, i.e. permitting non-standard base-pairing at the 3rd anti-codon position. Lineage: Bacteria; Bacillati; Actinomycetota; Acidimicrobiia; Acidimicrobiales; Ilumatobacteraceae. RNAcentral also lists the same sequence under 1 other name. The record is from RNAcentral.